This 301-nucleotide ribosomal RNA is filed under the name uncultured bacterium. RNAcentral's name for it is "partial 16S ribosomal RNA". It matches the Rfam family "Bacterial small subunit ribosomal RNA", at positions 509 to 807 of the family's 1533-position model. The record is from RNAcentral.
CAGUCUCCACGGGAAUACAGAGGGUGCGAGCGUUAAUCGGAUUUACUGGGCGUAAAGCGUGCGUAGGCGGCUAAUUGAGUCGGAUGUGAAAUCCCCGAGCUUAACUUGGGAAUUGCAUUCGAUACUGGUUAGCUAGAGUGUGGGAGAGGAUGGUAGAAUUCCAGGUGUAGCGGUGAAAUGCGUAGAGAUCUGGAGGAAUACCGAUGGCGAAGGCAGCCAUCUGGCCUAAUACUGACGCUGAGGUACGAAAGCAUGGGGAGCAAACAGGAUUAGAUACCCCGGUAGUCCCUGUCUCUUAUAC